CAUAUACUCCCUCCGUUCCAAAUUACUCGUCGUAAAAAUGGAUGUAUCUAGAACUAAAAUACAUUUAGAUACAUCCCUACCUGCGACAAGUAAUUCGGAACAGAGAGAGUACUAA
Molecule: non-coding RNA, 115 nt
Organism: Triticum urartu
Lineage: Eukaryota; Viridiplantae; Streptophyta; Magnoliopsida; Poales; Poaceae
Source: Rfam